CCUACGGGGAGCUGCAGUGAGGAAUAUUGGUCAAUGGACGAGAGUCUGAACCAGCCAAGUAGCGUGAAGGAUGACUGCCCUAUAGGUUGUAAACUUAUUUUAUAAAGGGAUAAAACGAGGCACGUGUGCCUUUUUGCAUGUACUUUAUGAAUAAGGAUCGGCUAACUCCGUGCCAGCAGCCGCGGUAAUACGGAGAAUCCGAGCGUUAUCCGGAUUUAUUGGGUUUAAAGGGAGCGUAGAUGGGUUGGUAAGUCAGUUGUGAAAGUUUGCGGCUCAACCGUAAAAUUGCAAGUGAUACUGGCAGUCUUGAGUGCAGUUGAGGUAGGCGGAAUUAGUGGUGUAGCGGUGAAAUGCUUAGAGAUCACGAAGAACCCCGAUUGCGAAGGCAGCUUACGAAACUGUGACUGACAUUGAUGCUCGAAAGUGUGGGUAUCAAACAGGAUUAGAUACCCGAGUAGUC
Molecule: ribosomal RNA, 460 nt
Filed under: uncultured bacterium
Lineage: Bacteria
Description: partial 16S ribosomal RNA
Rfam family: Bacterial small subunit ribosomal RNA
Source: RNAcentral